GCUGGGCAUGGUGGCUCGUGCCUGUAAUCCCAGCUACUCAGGAAGCUGAGGCAGGAGAAUUGCUUGAACCCAGGAGGUGGAGGUUGCAGUGAGCCAAGAUCACACCACUGCACUCCAGCCUGGGCGACAGAGCAAGACUCUGUCUCAA
Molecule: small RNA, 148 nt
Filed under: Pongo abelii (Sumatran orangutan)
Lineage: Eukaryota; Metazoa; Chordata; Mammalia; Primates; Hominidae
Description: Metazoan signal recognition particle RNA (ENSPPYG00000033039.1)
Source: Rfam by way of RNAcentral